Molecule: transfer RNA, 76 nt
Filed under: Planctomycetota bacterium
Lineage: Bacteria; Pseudomonadati; Planctomycetota
Description: tRNA-Arg
Rfam family: tRNA
About the family: Transfer RNA (tRNA) molecules are approximately 80 nucleotides in length. Their secondary structure includes four short double-helical elements and three loops (D, anti-codon, and T loops).
Source: RNAcentral
GCGCCAGUAGCUCAGCGGAUAGAGCACCGGAUUUCUAAUCCGGCGGCCGGGGGUCCGAAUCCCUCCUGGCGCGCCA